GCCUGGGUGGCUGAGUCAGUUAAGCAUCAGACUUCAGCUCAGGUCAUGAUCUCACAGUUCAUGGGUUCAAGCCCCAUGUUGGGCU
RNAcentral lists this transfer RNA (85 nucleotides) under Felis catus (domestic cat). It matches the Rfam family "tRNA". From Rfam's summary of the family: Transfer RNA (tRNA) molecules are approximately 80 nucleotides in length. Lineage: Eukaryota; Metazoa; Chordata; Mammalia; Carnivora; Felidae. RNAcentral also lists the same sequence under 6 other names. The record is from Rfam by way of RNAcentral.